RNAcentral lists this ribosomal RNA (781 nucleotides) under Bacillus cereus. Its description in RNAcentral is "bacterial SSU rRNA". It matches the Rfam family "Bacterial small subunit ribosomal RNA", at positions 71 to 836 of the family's 1533-position model. The record is from RNAcentral. Lineage: Bacteria; Bacillati; Bacillota; Bacilli; Caryophanales; Bacillaceae.
GAUGGGAGCUUGCUCCCUGAUGUUAGCGGCGGACCUUUGAGUAACACGUGGGUAACCUGCCUGUAAGACUGGGAUAACUCCGGGAAACCGGGGCUAAUACCGGAUGGUUGUUUGAACCGCAUGGUUCAGACAUAAAAGGUGGCUUCGGCUACCACUUACAGAUGGACCCGCGGCGCAUUAGCUAGUUGGUGAGGUAACGGCUCACCAAGGCAACGAUGCGUAGCCGACCUGAGAGGGUGAUCGGCCACACUGGGACUGAGACACGGCCCAGACUCCUACGGGAGGCAGCAGUAGGGAAUCUUCCGCAAUGGACGAAAGUCUGACGGAGCAACGCCGCGUGAGUGAUGAAGGUUUUCGGAUCGUAAAGCUCUGUUGUUAGGGAAGAACAAGUGCCGUUCAAAUAGGGCGGCACCUUGACGGUACCUAACCAGAAAGCCACGGCUAACUACGUGCCAGCAGCCGCGGUAAUACGUAGGUGGCAAGCGUUGUCCGGAAUUAUUGGGCGUAAAGGGCUCGCAGGCGGUUUCUUAAGUCUGAUGUGAAAGCCCCCGGCUCAACCGGGGAGGGUCAUUGGAAACUGGGGAACUUGAGUGCAGAAGAGGAGAGUGGAAUUCCACGUGUAGCGGUGAAAUGCGUAGAGAUGUGGAGGAACACCAGUGGCGAAGGCGACUCUCUGGUCUGUAACUGACGCUGAGGAGCGAAAGCGUGGGGAGCGAACAGGAUUAGAUACCCUGGUAGUCCACGCCGUAAACAAUGGGUGCUAAGUGUUAGGGGGUUUCCG